Long non-coding RNA from Raphanus sativus (radish), 1832 nucleotides. RefSeq lists it as uncharacterized. The transcript is spliced from 6 exons. The record is from RefSeq and is a predicted model, not a curated record. NCBI's taxonomy places the organism in Eukaryota, Viridiplantae, Streptophyta, Magnoliopsida, Brassicales, Brassicaceae.
UUGGUCUGAUAAAUUAAUAAAACUCUGCGUUUAAAGAGUUACCCCCUUAGGGCUUCCCUGUGAUCCUGCUUCAAGAACUCAACCUCGACGUCUCCUAAUCUCAUCUCUUUGCAUCCUAUGUCGCUAUCUCUUGACCUUCCUGGUGGUUCAGUGUAUUUAUUUUAAUUUUCCAUAUCUGUUAUUCACAUUGAAUCCAGUUUUCAUGGUGACUCCUCAGUUUCCUUCAUCUCAAAUCUGUAAAUAUAAGCAGGUUGAGAUUACGAUGGACAUUCAGAACCAGGGGGAGGGGUUUAGGUUCCUGCUUUGAAAUAAUCGAUAUCUCUUUUGAUUUUUUUUCUUGCUUUUCAUUUUUGAUUUUUAGGGAUUCUGUAAUGGCAGCGACAGAAAAACGGAUAAAGAUAUUUCUGCCGAUUCAACGAAUUUCGUUCUCACUGAAGAGGAAUACUGUGAGGAGAUUCUUCUAGAGAAAGAGAUACUUCUAGCCAAACUUCGGGAUGAUGAGGAGAAAGCCAAUUGUGCUGCGUCCGGUGAAGCUCCUGAUCUGAAUGAUACCCAGUUUACUAAACUGGAUGAGCUCUUGACUCAGACCCAACUCUACUCUGAGUUUAUUUUUGAGAAAAUGGAGGAUAUCACAAAAGCAAAUCUCCUUUUUGCCUUUUUGUUGGUUAAAGAACAUGAUUUUUCUUAAUUGAGUUAGUGUGCUUUGAUAGAAUGGGAUAGAAGGUGAGACUCUAAAAGCCGAGCCUGAGAAGAAAGGAGGUCGUGGACGCAAAAAAGGAUGCUACUCAGGCCGCCAAUCUGAAGGUUAAUAAAGCUGUUGCUGCAUGAUUUCAAGAGCUAAAGGUCAUAUAUCUGCCAACUCAGAUCUGAGAGAGGAAAAAAGGCAUGAAAGAGCAGAGUGAAUUCAUGGGAAUCUUUACUCCUCCUGAUUGGAGAUCUCAACAACUUCCUCUCCAACUCUGACAAGCAGAAACUUAUUUUAUUUGCAAGGUUCGGAUUGCUCGGAAAUUUUCAGCUAUAUAGAGGGCUUGGAUGGUGAGCCAAAACUAUAUCUUGAGACAAAAUGGUUUGUACUAUGUCUCUUGCACUCUGCUGCAGCAAAAAAUUAGACAGAUCUCCCUCAUCUCUCACUGCAACCAAUGUGUCAAUCACAAUGUCACCAUUGUUGUAAAGCCCAUAGGUAAAGUUGAUGUACUUCAAGAAGCUUUCAUGGCUAUCCUCAAACUCGAAAAGGAGGUUUCUGCAAUAAUUUUAAGUUGCUCGAUAAAAAGAUCUAUUACAUUAUAUUUCAUUUGAUUCCUUUGUAAGAAACUAUUUUCACACCUAAUGCGUUCUUGCUUGCUUUCAAAUAACCAUGUUUUCAGAUGUAUUAAUCUUUUAUUUAAAUCAUAAUUAACAGAGACCAGACACAGCUAUCUAUUUUUGCGGGAAAACAACGACUCAAUAACAACCUCUUCCUCUUUUUUUUUUGAACAACCUAACAACCUCUUCCUCUAAUUCGAAACAACCGACUUUAUAACUUUUGAGACAAAACAAACUAUUAAGAAGAGAUCACACAUUAAAAAAAGAAGUUUUGAAGCAUAACAUAGUGUUAAGAAAAGGAUCUAGAACGACAAUUUCCUUUUUGUUUUUUUUUAAUUAUUUGUUCUUGUCAAAACCAGGAACCACUCUAAGACCAAAAAUAUUUUCAAGACCCAGCUUGUCAAUAAUAUUUUCCAGGGAUAGCUGGAGGGAUACGGAGUCCCAUAUUGCGACUAAACUCAUUGGCCAACUCCACCGGCAACCAUGCAGUUCUCUAUCUUCAUCCAACUCCACCAAAAAGAACUCUGUCG